This is a long non-coding RNA of Rhagoletis zephyria (snowberry fruit fly), 121 nucleotides long. RefSeq lists it as uncharacterized. The record is from RefSeq and is a predicted model, not a curated record. NCBI's taxonomy places the organism in Eukaryota, Metazoa, Arthropoda, Insecta, Diptera, Tephritidae.
CGCCGCCUACGCAGAAAGGUGUUCUCUGCAAAAGGUGUUCAGCGCCUUUUCUUUGCAACACAAAAAGAGAAUUCUACUUUGUGAGGGUUAUAAUCCCUAAGUGCGGCCGGAGGCCGCCUAU